This 34787-nucleotide long non-coding RNA is filed under the name Setaria italica (foxtail millet). Its description in RNAcentral is "long non-coding RNA (SITA_LNC006022)". The record is from RNAcentral. Lineage: Eukaryota; Viridiplantae; Streptophyta; Magnoliopsida; Poales; Poaceae.
AAUGCUCAGGUAUCGGCCGCUUCGGGAGGGAUGAGGGACCUCGCAACCAUAUCUUGGACUGGGCAUCCCCUGCCUCCCCGUCCCCCUCCUGCUCCUGCUGCUCCUCCUCCGCCGCCUCCUCGUCCCCAGAGGCGUGUGCGGAAGGUACCUCCUCCUCCUUCCUCCUUCCUCCACCUCCACCUCAGGNNNNNNNNNNNNNNNNNNNNNNNNNNNNNNNNNNNNNNNNNNNNNNNNNNNNNNNNNNNNNNNNNNNNNNNNNNNNNNNNNNNNNNNNNNNNNNNNNNNNNNNNNNNNNNNNNNNNNNNNNNNNNNNNNNNNNNNNNNNNNNNNNNNNNNNNNNNNNNNNNNNNNNNNNNNNNNNNNNNNNNNNNNNNNNNNNNNNNNNNNNNNNNNNNNNNNNNNNNNNNNNNNNNNNNNNNNNNNNNNNNNNNNNNNNNNNNNNNNNNNNNNNNNNNNNNNNNNNNNNNNNNNNNNNNNNNNNNNNNNNNNNNNNNNNNNNNNNNNNNNNNNNNNNNNNNNNNNNNNNNNNNNNNNNNNNNNNNNNNNNNNNNNNNNNNNNNNNNNNNNNNNNNNNNNNNNNNNNNNNNNNNNNNNNNNNNNNNNNNNNNNNNNNNNNNNNNNNNNNNNNNNNNNNNNNNNNNNNNNNNNNNNNNNNNNNNNNNNNNNNUCACAUCGACAUGAGCUCCUCAUACCGCCCACAUUGCUUAAUGACCUGCAAUUAAAAAGAGUACACGAGUCAGCAUAGGCAAACAAAACAUAAUUACAAAGAUAUGCAAAUUAUAAUUAAAUUAUAACUAAAUUAGUACGAAUCAUACAUGUAUUAGAAAUAAUCAUCAUGAUCGGGAUUAGCUGGAUCAUAAGUCUCAUCAUCACUAUCACGCGUGUCGAUAUAGUCAAGCUCGUGCUCCGAAGAAGGAAUGUCGUCAUCACUGUCAUUAGCGAACUGUUGAGCCACAAUAUAGACAUCGUCUCCUGGUAACCUGGAUGACUGUCGAAUUUCGACUAGCCCAAGGUUAGGGGCCCGUCUCACGACAGAUGGAUCAAACCAAUGGCAUUUGAAUAUAACUGGAUUAAGAGGUUUGCACCCAUGAAAAGUGAGUUCGUAUAUUUCUUCAAUUCUUCCGUAGUACUCGACCCCAUCGGAGCCUGGCGUGAAAACUCCGGUAUUUGUGGUUCUUCGAUUGGGCUGACUCUGCUCGUGCGUUGUUGUGUGAAACCUAUAUCCGUUGACGUCAUAACCAGCAAACGACCUGACUCUAUAGUCACAGCCAUCGGCAACCUGUCUCAACUCGACAUUCAUAGACGCAUCGGUUCGGCCCUGCAAGUUCAAACAGGGCGGUUCGUUAUAUUAAUCGUAUGCACGAGAACGAGAAUGUUCGAAGAAAUGAAAUUGUACCUUCUGUUUGAACCAAGAAAUGAAAUCGGGCAUUCCAUUUCCCGCACCCUCUUUAAGAAGAGUCUCAGCUUCGUGCGGGUACGGUUGCCUUGAUUUACGCCAGAAUUGACGAUGAAAUUGCCUAUACCAACGAGAAAGAUACGUUUAGGCAAGAGAUACCAUUACUACGUCGAAACAAGUUCGUCGAUGACUUACAUCAUGUACGGCUCCACUUCAGAUAGGUUGGUCAACACAUACAGCAUGAUAGAGCGCCACUCUUCAUGGUUAAGGGUCUUGCGGGUCGCACCACUUGCACUUCCGAGUUGCCCUCGGAAAAUGCUAAGGCUUAAUUCAUCUUCGCUGGCAUUGUAACGAGGAGGUGGAUUAUGCACGCUAGGAAGGUUGUCAGCGUAGUAUUUCGAUGUGAAGUUUGACACCUCCUCCAGAAUGUAUGCCUCUGCAAUGGAUGCUUCAAUUUUGACACUUAUUCUUACAUUUAGUUCGAAGAACCUUUUGACAUCUCUCAAUUGAGUAGCACCAACGACCCUGCACAGGCCCCCCCAUUCGUGCUUCAUACGGGAGGUGUAGAAUCAUAUGCUGCAUUGGAUUGAAGAAGCCUGGAGGAAAGAUCUUCUCCAACUUACAGAGCAACACAGGCACCAUUGUUUCCAAUUCUGCAACCACGGUACGAGAUAACUCCUUCGCACAAAGCCGGCGGAAGAAAUUGCUCAACUCCGCUAGCACCUGCCACACAUGCUCAGGUACAUAGCCUCGAACCAUCACCGGAAGUAGGCGCUCAAGCCAUAUAUGGUAAUCAUGACUCUUGAGCCCGUUGAUUCUCAUAGUUGCUAAAUUCACUCCCUCUUCAAGUUUGCUGCAUAGCCAUCAGGGAACAUUAACGUUUGGAACCAUUCUAGGACCUCCCUCCUUUGGGCCCUCGUCAGAACGAAAUCGGCCUUAGGCUUCCUCCACGACUUGCCAGCUCUUGGAGGCGCCAUGUUUAGCUGUGGUCUGUUGCACAAUGUCGCUUGAUCCACUCUAGCCUUAACGUUAUCCUUUGUCUUGUCAGGAAUGUCCAUUAUUGUACCAAAAAUUGCCUCGGCGAUAUUUUUUUCCGUGUGCAUUACAUCAAUGUUAUGUGGAACAAGGAGAUCAUCAAAAUAGGAAAGCUUCCACAAGCACGACUUCUGCGUCCAAGCAUGUUGCUCGCCAUAUCCUAAAAAACCACCUUCCUCAUUAUUAACCUCAAGAGCGUCUAACUGAGCACGAACUGCAGCCCCUGUCAUCAUCGGCGGUGCGGGGGCUGUAACUACAACAUCUUUGGUAAAGUUCUUGAUGUCUCGUCUAAAUGGAUGGUCAGGAGGGAGGAAUUGUCGAUGUUUGUCGAACGAAGAAUAUUUGCCACCUUUCGACAACCAAAUGAACUUCAAAGAUGCUUUACAUACUGGGCAUGGGAACUUCCCGUGAACACACCAUCCGGAGAAAAUCCCAUAUGCCGGCAAGUCAUGCAGUGAGUACUGGUACCAAACAUGCAUCUUGAAGUUUAUCUUUGUGGAUCGGUCAUAGGUCCAUACCCCUUCCUCCCAAGCACGGAGCAAAUCAUCAAUCAAAGGCUCCAUAUACACACUCAUAUUAUUCCCCGGAUGCUCUGGAAUCAUCAACGACAAGAAUAUAUUAUGUCGUUGAAAUAGGACGCCGGGUGGGAGAUUCAGGGGGAUAACGAAAAUGGGCCAACAGGUGUACGGGGCGGCCGCCAUUCCAUAAGGAUUGAACCCAUCAGUUGCCAACGCAACGCGUACGUUACGGGCCUCUAGAGCUUUUGCAGGAUAAAUCGCAUCAAAGCUUCUCCAGGCUUCAGCAUCGGAUGGGUGUACCAGCUUCUCAGGAUUAUAGCGACGGCCAUUUUUGUGCCAUGUCAUCUAUUUCGCGGAUUCUUCAGUCAUGAAAAGCCAUUGGAUCCUCGGUAUGAAAGAAAGAUACCGUAGAACCUUCACAGGAAUUGCGAGCUGCUUUUUCUGACCGUCACCGUAGUCAACCUCCAGAAAUCUAGACGAUUCACACUUCACACAGUAUUUUGCUUCCGCAUACUCUUUCCUAAAUAAGAUGCAUCCUUUCGGGCAAGCAUGUAUAUGCUCGUAUGGCAUCUUAAGUGCACGAAGGAGUUUCUGUGCCUCAUACAUGCUCUUUGGCAAGAUGUGACCAACCGGGAGCAGGCUUCCAAAAACUGUCAACAUAAUAUCAAACGCGUCUCGACUCAAACUAAACUGAGACUUCACAGCCGUUAGGCGUGCAAUGGCAUCUAGCUGAGAAACCUUGGUAUUGCCGUGAAGGGGUUGCUGUGCCGCAGACAACAUUUCGUAAUAAGCUUUAGCGGUAGCCUCUGGCUCCUCCUCCCUACGUGCCUCUUCGAAGUGUGCUUCAUGAUAGUCAUUUAACAUGUUUCCCACCCCGGCAUCAUCAUCAAAUUUCUCGAUGCGUUGUCUCAAGACCUCCUCUCUCCCACGGUCAGAUUCACCAUGGUAGAUCCACCUGGUGUAGUCUGACGUAAAUCCGUUCUUCACCAGAUGUUUGCCCAUGUCUAGCUUGGUUUGCCGACGCAUGUUUCCACAUUUGCUGCACGGACACCAAGUCGAUCGAGCUCCAUUGACACUUGCAAACGCCCGUUCCAAGAAAGCAUCCGUCUUGUCAAGCCAUUCAUUGGUCAACGUAUUCUGACUAGUGCGACCCGUGUACAUCCACUGACGAUCCUCCAUCCUCUACCAUUUAAAUAAGUAAUACAAAAUUCACAUUGCAUAUACACGUUCCUAUAUUGUCUACUAGGUAAAGAUAGGUCCUAAUCCCACCCGAGGAUGUGUAGGUGGGUUUAGUAUCCAUGGUCUACUCCGACCCGAGAUANNNNNNNNNNNNNNNNNNNNNNNNNNNNNNNNNNNNNNNNNNNNNNNNNNNNNNNNNNNNNNNNNNNNNNNNNNNNNNNNNNNNNNNNNNNNNNNNNNNNNNNNNNNNAAUAGACCAUGGAUACUAAACCCACCUACACAUCCUCGGGCUGUCCAAAAAACGUGGACAAUUCAAAACAGAUACGAUUAUAGAUAUGCAAAGAUCUGCAUAUUUCCAACCGUAUCUCUUUCGAACGGGAGACGCCUAACUAGGUUACGUGAUAUACGAACAUUAUACGGAAAGAGAGGUGUAGCAUGCCUCACCUUGCUAUCCUGCAAAGUGACGAGUCGAGGACGGUCCUUGUAAGCCUCUCCUGCAACAAAAGAAACAAAGCAUUGUUUAAGUCAAAAUUUCGGCAGCACCUCCCCUGCACGGGGAGGUUUCCAAAACUUGCAACAUAAUAAACGGCACGAUAGCCGACAACCACAAUCUCACCAAAGAGUUGGCACGAUGGCCAACAACCACAACCACAACCAACCACACCUCUAUUCUUUUCAACAUUUUCUAAUUUCUACUCUUCCUUCUUCUCGAAUUUUCUAAAUCCAUGCCUCUAAUUUCUAAAAUAAAUGCUACCACAUCCUACCACCUCUCUAAUAUUUUCAACAUUUAAUUUCUAAUUUCUAAUNNNNNNNNNNNNNNNNNNNNNNNNNNNNNNNNNNNNNNNNNNNNNNNNNNNNNNNNNNNNNNNNNNNNNNNNNNNNNNNNNNNNNNNNNNNNNNNNNNNNCUGAGGUGAUUGGUCGAGGACCGUACUCGGGAGAUUCCAUCAUUUCAUGGAUUUAUAGCUCAUAUUAAAUUUAUAUCUAUUAAAUUCAUAUACGUGCAAUUAAUGAAUAAAAAUUACCAAACGGAUCUGAAAAAUUCCCAAAAUUUGACAUCAACCAAUCUAUGUUCUCUAUAGCCUAUAAAAAAAAUUGGACUCAAUGAGAAAUACAUGUAUCGAUUCAUCUCAAAAUCUUACCGUAUCCUUCCAACUUCUACGAAUCCUCUCAGGAGAUGCUUCGAAUUCUAAACAUCAUAUGUCAAAACUUGUGCGAAACCUUGUCAAUUUUUUACCACAGCCUCUGCAUAUGAAAUCAUAGCAUCUUGCAAAAUCUCAUGAUUUUCAAACUUCGUUUGUAUUUUUGAGAAUUAAACAAUCAUUUGGCCACACGUUCGUAGUCGUGUUUCCUUAGCAAAAUGUUCGAAAUUUCUUUUCAUUUUCUGGGUGAGACCUCAAUUUGGACUCACUAACAUGAAUAUGAUUUUUCCACUCAUAUUAUUCCAUUAUUCCAACCACCUGCAGUUCGAAUUUGACUUAAAUCAAAAAAUUACUCUAAAUGAAAUUAAUUGAUUAAAUAUAGCAAACAGGUCAAAAAAUAGUCUACCUUCUACCAUGCCGUGCCAAAUUCCAUACAUGUGGAGUGUAAAAAGUUUGGAGGGUGGGGGAGGGAAAAAAAAUUACUUUUGCCGAGUGUGUCAAAAGACACUCGGCAAACCCUAUAGUAUGCCGAGUGUGCCCCCUAGCACUCGGCAUACUCGCCACUUUGCCGAGUGUCCCAUCACGACACUCGGCAAACUAGUGGCUUUGCCGAGUGCCCCCCGUAGACACUCGGCAAAGCCUAACGUCCGUCACGGAGCCGCGACGGCGGCGGCACGGGGAAGUCACGUGCUCGUCAGUUUGCCGAGUGUCCAUCUUUGCCGAGUGCCUCGUGGGUGUUUGCCGAGUGUUUUUUUGGCGGCACUCGGCAAACCGGUCUUUCGCCGAGUGUAUUAUGUUUGCCGAGUAUUUUUGGUAUUGCACUCGGCAAAUCGGUCCUUCGCCGAGUGCCCGAAAUAAUACACUCGGCGAAGUAAUUACACUCAGCAAAUUCGAGGUUUCCCGUAGUGGCUGAGCUGUUGAAUCACACCUAAAACAGUCUAAUCUUGUCUCCUAAACCUCAUUUUGUUAGGCUAAACAGCACAUAUGUUAAAGGGACUCCAUGGUCUCGCCCUGAGCUGCAGCCCGGGCAGCCCGGGCCCUAGAUCCGCCCCUCUCUCCUGUGUCUCUACACCCGCAUCUCCUAAGGACACGGCUUACAUAGUGCUCGAAUCCGCACAAACUCUUCAAUCAGUCGCGUGAAGGCACGCGCGACUUGCUCGUCCGUUAGCUAGCUAGGUUUUUUGCACACGCAUGGACGCGUACUUCUGCGCGUGACUGCUUGUUUCGUCGUGUGUCUACUUCAGCUACCUCGAACAAGGCCAACUCGCUACGCACACGACGAAGACAAUUCCGAGAACCGUUGUUUAUGCUUAUCCGUAUCAUGCAAGCAUGCUGCUAGGCAUCACUCGUGACGCCGUUGUUGUCUUCUUCCUCGGCGAGCUCUCAUGACCAGCUUGUUUAUAAUUUGUCUGGCUCGCCAAAAGCUGUAACGGCGCGGGCGAAUCGGUCGACGCGAGUGCAGCACAAACGUAUGCAUGGGACGGUUUUCGUUGACUAGAAUCGGUGUGGCUUAUCCUCUGGGCUUCGUUUUUGUUCGUGUGCAUGGACGCGAUCAGCACGUGCGAAGGAGAUGCCAAGAAAAUCGGACUGGCCGAGACGAAACUAGACGAUAUCGAUCGGACUCUGGCAUUUCGUGUUGAUCGAUCCAGACUCGAGAGGGCCGACGAAACUGGAAACAGACUGACUGUUAAUGGUCAUCGUUCUGCGAACAUGGAUUUUUCACAUCUACAUACAACCACAUUUACUGCCAGGACUAUUCGUUUUUGAACUAAUGGUGAUAUUGAUUAUGGGUAGUUAAAAAAAUAUGGGUAGGUGAAGAUACAUGGGUAAGUGAGGUGAAUCAACAGUUAGAUGAAGAAAUCAACAGAUAAGUCUUGUAGUCACAUGUGUGUAUGUAGUUUUGCAUUUUUCACGUUGAGUAGCCGUAGAUGAUGCAAUGAAACUUGGACACGGCAAACAAUGCAAAUUGUUCUUCCUACGCUAAAUUGCCGCCCCAGUAGGGAUUAUAUUUCUAGCAAAGCUUGCUUGUCAACAAACACCCUCUGCUCCUGACCGUGUGAAGAUCAAGACACUAGAGGGAAGAGAAUGAUAUGAUUGCUAGUGGCCGUACGUAUUCGGCAGGCAAAUUGAUUCUUUUACUGAAACCCCACCGACGAAGGAAAUUGAUUUUCCGAAUACAAGCUGACCCGGCAGCCGAUCGAACACGGGUGUCGGCUCAAAGCAAUUGUGACCGCACCUAAUUAAAAUUCAGGAACAUUUGGAAAGAGAAUAAACCACGAGCGUUAUUAUUAAUCGGAUGUUUUGGUAAAGAAUGUCACUGCGUCCAAUUAAAGGCCUAGAAGGGGGGCCAUGCCCCCACCCAAUCCUAAUUAAUGGUCUACUAUAGAUUGAUCUAACAUUAGAUUUUAGAUCAAAAUGAUCUACUCAUAGGCGGCUUUCCAGCAGCCCGCUUGUCCAACUAGCGGCUUCCUCUAGUGGUUUUGUUGCACACUACUCUGUUGGUAAUAAAGUCACUCUGCUAGCCCUCUGUGUUGCGGUUUCUCUCUGCUUCCCAUAAUUUAAGCCUAAUCUCGAUUUUACUUUUUGAUUUAAAUAUCAUGUUUCAGCACUAUGUUCACAACCACACGUUAUCAUUUUACAAAUAAAUGAGAUAUCUUACUAUUACUAAUUUGAGACUCCUUUUGAAGUUUACAGGUGAAGUCAUUUUAAAGGUGAAGUCAUAUAGGAUCCUAGGUGGACACUCUAAAAAAAGAGAGAAAUCUUAGAAAUUCUCAGAAAAAAAGCAAAACAUCUAACCUCAAUUAGUAGACUCAAAUCACCAUGGCCCUUGGAUCUAUUAUGUUUUUCGAAAAAUUACCCACCUAUUCCAUUAUAAAAAUAGUCUAAAGUAACCCCUAAAUCUAUAUCUAAAUUAUUCGCAUCUGUCAUUAUAUAAAAUAAACUAAAAUAACCCCUAACCUUCAUCUAAAAUGCCCACUUAUGCCAUUAUCCGCUCGCAAGUCCUCCUCCCUCCCCCGUAGACUCACCCAGCCGGAUCCCCUCUCCCUCCCUCCCUCGCAGAUCUCAACCUUCUCCCUCCCUCUCCUACCUCCCAGGACAGAUCUCAACCCCUCUCCUAACUAUGCCACCGCUCCCCUCCCCUCCUCACACCCCUCACUCACCGGUUGCAGUGAGAAUUUUAAUCUAUUUGGUCAGAUAGUAGGACCAUAGGAAAACAUUCAAUUCAGUCCAUAGUUAAUUUUAAUCGACGAAGACAAUUCUUAGAACCUGUUUAUGCUUAUCCGUAUCAUGCAAGCAUGCUGCUAGGCAUCACUCGUGACGCCGUUGUUGUCUUCUUCCUCGGCGAGCUCUCGAUGACCAGUUCGUUUAUUUGUCUGGUUCGCCAAAAGCUAUAACGUACGAAAGUGACGCCACGAAGCUCGGACUGGCCGAGACGAUAUAUAUCGAUCGGACUCUGACAUUUCUUGUUGAUCGAUCAAGACUGGAGAGGUGCCGGGGAAAGGGACCGGCUGUCAAUUGUCACGUUCGGCAGCCGUUUCGAUGAUGGAAUGAAACCCGGACACGUCGCCAAACAAUGCAAACUGUUCUUCCGACGCUAGGGUGCUGCCCCAGCAGGGAUUAAUUACUCCGUGUAUUUCUAGCAAGCUUCCUUGUCAACAAACAUGCUCUGCACCUGACCAAGACUGCAGAGGGAAAGAGACCGAUGAUAGAUUGCUACGAGUGGCCGUACGUAUCCGGCAGGCCUUUUGAUUCAUGCACUGAAACCCCGCCGACGAAGGAAAUUUAUUUUCGGAGUACACUGUAUUGUAUCAGUGCUGACCUGCUGGCAGAUAUAAUUUUAUUUCAAUCGAGGCUGUCAAAAACAACUGGUUCCUGAUGGUGGUGAAUGACGAUUGACAAUAUUGUGACUGUGCACCUAAUUAAAAUUUCAGGAACAUUUGGAAGUUGGAAUGAACCACGUGCGUUAAUUCGAUGUUGGUAAAUAAAUUAUUUAUGGAGUGUCACUGUGUCACGUAAUGUCGAGACUACCCUUAUUAGUUGGAUCAACUAGUUAUCAACCUAUUUAUGCAGUGAGUGUGUCACGUAAUCUCGACAUUACCACUACGCCACAAAAAUUUUUGCUGGCGGUAAAAACCGGUUUGUGCUGGCGGGCUCGGCUGUCAGCACAAAUGGUCUUUGUACUGGCGGGUAUCCACCCACCAGUACAGUUCCAAUUUACGCUGGCAAGUGCUUAGAUAGCUCGUCAGCACAGAUGUUUUUAGGAUAAUAAAAAAAGUAGCACCGCAACCGCGGCCACGACGCCGCUCAUCGUCGGAGCCCACCGCUCCUGGAGACCCACCGCUCGCCAACACCGCUCCCGCUCCUGGAGACCCCAUCGCCCACCGGCCGCUCCCGCUUUUGGAGACCCCGUCGUCCACCGACCACCCGCUGACGCCGCUCCCGCUCAUGGAGACACCGUCGCCUGCUGGCGCCCACGCUCGCUCCUGGAGACCCCGUCGCCCGUCGCUGCCGCCCACUGCUCCCGCCGAAGCCGCGCCCAUUGGCCGCCCGCCGCCCGCCAAAGCUGCCGCCGCUGCUCCCACCAAGGCCGCGCCCACUGGCCACCUGCCGCCCGCCGAAGGCGCCACCACUCCCACUGAAGCCGCCACUCACACCGCCCACCGGCCGCCACCGCUCUUGGAGCCGCCGCCGCUCCCCCACCCCACCGACUGCCGCUCCCGCCAAGGCCGCGCCCACCGCCCGCCCGCCGCUCCCCCAGCCCACUGGCCGCCGCCGCUCCCCCGCCCCCACCAACCGCCGCUCCUAGAGCUACGCCCACCACGAGGAGAUAAAAUAAAGAUAAGGCCAGCCGCGCUCACCACAAGGAGAUAAGAUAAGGGAGAUGUGGUGAGCUUUGUGCUGGCGAGUGCUUAGGUAGCCCGCCAGCACAGAGCCAUCUAUGCUGGCGGGCACUAGCCCGGUGGUCCCGAUCACAUUUAUGGUGGCGAGUGCUAAUUCCGCCAUCAGCACGCUAGUUUCAACAUGCCAGCACAAAUCAUUUCUGGCGUAGUGUACUCUUAUUUGGAUUAUGCAAUUAUCAUGUGAAACACUAGUAAAGGAGAAAAGAUGGGAACCCACAACAUACUCCAAGAGCAGCGUGGCAGAGAUAAGGGAGGCCUAGAAGGGGCCAAUGCCCCCCACCCCGUCCUAUUGGUCUAUUAUGCAUUGAUUGAUAUAGUAUUAUAGUUAACUACAGUUGAUUUUAAAUAGAACUGAUCUACUCAUAUUUAAAAUAAAAACGAUUUACUCAUAUUUUUUAAAUUUAAAUGAUCUACUCACAUGCGGCUUCAUCUACGAUUAAUCCGACUUCUUCUCCGGCAGCCAGCUUGUCCAACUGGUGGCUUCCUGUGGUCGUUUCAUUGCACAUAUCUAGGCAUUGUAACACUUCAUGCUGCUCUGCUGGCGAUCAGUUACUCUGCAAUAAUUUAGGCCUUCUAAUGAUGUUUUCCCAAUAAUUUACAUGAACCUCAGUUUUAUUUGUUAAAUUUCAACGUCAUGUUUCAUGUGUUCAGUACCAUGUUCGCAACCACAAGUCUUUGUUUUCAAAUAAACGAGACACUAUGCUAGAAAUACUCUUCUUAUUUUUGACCAUUUGUGAAAUUUGUUAUCCGUGUUAUGUUAAAAUGUAGUUGUGCAUUUUUCAUGCCAGGCCCAGCCCCUCUAAUUCCGGGUUCCAUCCAUGCCCAAGAGGGAUCAAGUGUAAUUCGCUUCCACAUGGUUGACAGCCCCAGAUGGACGGGUUCCUUGCUGGCCCUGUGCAGCCUGCUGCUGGUUUGCACACAGCUCCCAUUGUACGCGACGAGUAGUUGCUAGUUUGAACAAGCCGGGAGCGCGGGUGAUCUUGGUCGUCCCAGACAGAGGCGCGCGCGAUCUGGCCAUGCAGCCCGCAGCCCGAGAGCCCGGCACGAAGCACGUAUUUUUAGCCCGUACCUAGCCCGGCCCAGCCCGUAACUCUUCGGACUCGGGCUGGCCCGGCCCGCAUCAUCGUGCUGGGCGUGGGCCGUUGCCUCGGCCCGGCACGAAAAUGCUGUCCCGGCCCGUUGCCGGCCCGUCAAACGAGCAGCAGCCCAGCAGGCCGGCCCAGCAACGGUCGGGAGGGGGGCAUAUAUAAGCCCUCGCGGCCGGUGACGCCCCCCCCCCUUCGCAAACCCUACCCCAUUCUCCCCUCUGCCCGCUGCCUCCUCGCCUCCUUGUCUCCUCCGCUGUGCGCCUGCGCUCCAGGCUCCUCGCCUCCUCAGCUCCUCCUGUCCCGGCGAGUCGGCGACGGCCGACGGCGACCGGCGCGCCGCCUCCUCGCCUCGACUCCUCCCGUCCUCCGCUCCCAGCUCACCUCCUAAGGCAUCGCGUCCGCGCCCGCGCCUCCGCAGGGAGUACCUGACCGCCUGCCUGCCUCCCUGCCUCCCUGGUGCCUUCUGCCUUGCCGGCUUGCCACCGGCACCGGCGCACCGCCUCCUCACCUCGACUCCUCCGUUCCCUGCUCCUUUGACUCCUCUCGUUCCGCCUCCCUGGAUCUGGAUCUACAUUGAGAUCCUCCUGAUCCUUAGAUCUAGAUCCUCCCGAUCCUUAGAUCUAGAUCCUCCUGAUCCUCUUCUUGUUCUCCUGAUCUUGUUCCUGUCGUCCUCUCCAGCCCGGGCUGAGCCACUGAGGCGUCGCAGGUAUGUAGAUGAGUAGAUCCUCCUGAUCCAUUUCUUGUUCUCCUGAUGUAGAUCCUCCUAAUCGUGUUCUUAUUUUCCUGAUCCUCUUCUUGCAGGUAAUUGUCUUCUUCUCCUGCUCCGGGCUCCGGCGUCGCAUGUAACUGUCUUCUUGUUGUCCUCCUGAGUCCUGAUCCCCUUAUUUUUCUGCUAUCUGCUGAUCCUCUAGUUGUUCCUGAUCUUGUUCUCCUAUUUUUCUUGCAGGUAUCCGUCGCCCCGUCGGGUGCCGCGCGCCGUUGAGUGACGGAGCGGUUGAGGCCUGAGACCUGAGGGACGCCCCGGCCCCCGGCUGCCGCCUGCCCCAGGAGGUCGUCGUGAUGGACGAGAACUACACCAUCAACGAGGACCUAAGGGCCUGUGGCCUGCCAGGUAACAUCUUGUUGAUCCUCUUCUUGUUCUUGUUCUCCUGAUCAUCUUCUUGUUCCUAUCUUCCUGAUCCUCUUCUUGUUCCUGUCUUCCUGAUCCUCUUCUUGUUCUGUUCUACCAGGCGACGAUGAGGACGACGUGGCUGCCGGAGCCGUGCCACUCGUCGGUAGCUCUGCUGCUCCCGUCAAUGUGGAUGCUGCCGGUGACGGAGGUACUAUUCCACCUUCUACCCCAUCUUCUACCCCAACUACAUCAACGGGCACCAGUGUCCGCAAGGGGAAGCGGCGGUCUGCUGCCUGGAAUGACUUUGAGGAGUUGUUCCAGGAAGGCGACAACGGGAAGAAGGUAAGGUACGCUGCCAAGUGCCGUCAUUGUUCUCACAUUCUUACUGGCCGGUCUUGUGCUGGUACUGGCCAUUUGCUCCGGCACCAGAAGAUGUGCUUGGCUAAACAAAACCAUUCUUCUCUUGUUCAGUCGCAACUGCAAUUCCAUUCUGAUGGCUCAAUUAUUAAUUGGGAAUACAAGCCCGAUCUUGCUCGCAAAGAAUUGUGCCGGUUGAUUGCUAGACUUGAUCUUCCCCUAGGCUUUGGUGAGACAGAGGCAUUUGUGGAGUACAUCCAGCGUGCUCAUAACCCUCGUUUUGCUAAAGUUUCUAGAGAGACCACUUCUAGAGAUCUUGCCAAGUUCUUUGGCGAGCGUCGUCUUUCUCUUGUUGAUACUUUGAAGUCUCAUGUUUUUUCUGUUUGUCUUACUUCUGAUAUUUGGUCAGGGAAUGCCAAGGAGGACUACCUUAGUGUUGUUGCACAUUUUGUUUCUGCUGAUUGGGAAUUAGAGAAGAGGGUCAUUGCUCUUAGGUUGAUUGAUUGCUCCCAUUCUGGUGUUAACAUUGCUGAGCGUAUUGAACAAGUUGUUUCUGAGUUUGGUUUACAAGAUAAAAUUUUCUCUAUCACACUUGACAAUGCUUCUGCUAAUACUUCUGCCAUGUCCACACUUAUUCCCAAAUUUGUUGGUUAUCUAGGUCCAGAUCCUGAACCUCUUGAUUCUGAUUCUGAUUCUGAUAAAGCACUUGUUGGUCUUUUGCAUCAACGUUGUGCAUGUCAUAUUAUCAAUCUCAUAGUCAAGUCUGGUUUGAAGAGGAUCAAGGCUUAUCUUGAGGCUUUUAGGACUGCAAUCUCUUUUUUGAACUCUUCUAAUCAACGUAUUGCAGCUUUCCAUAACUUCUGCAUUGUCAAGGGGGUACGCCCUCGUAAGUUUGGUUUAGAUAUCGAUGUGAGAUGGAAUUCUACAUAUCUCAUGCUCAAACAUCUACUACCAUAUAAGAAUGUCUUUUCUGUCUUUAUUUCUGCUCAUUAUGUGCACAAUGGCCAGCCACUUCUGACUGAAAACCAUUGGGUAAUUGUUGAGAAAAUUUUGCUAUUCCUUGAAAUGUUUUAUGAUUCCACUGUUGCUUUAUCUGGUGUUUACUAUCCAACAAGUCCUUUGAUGUUGCAUCAUAUUAUUGAGAUUGCUGGCCAUUUGCAUGGCCAAGAUUCUGAUCCAUUGCUCAGAAAUAUUAUUAUUCCCAUGAAGCUUAAGUUUCUCAAGUAUUGGCAGAACAUACCUCUGUUGUAUUCCUUUGCAUUCAUUUUGGAUCCUAGAGCCAAGGUGAGAGGUUUUCAUAAUGUUCUCUAACUUCUUUCUCAGAUAGUUGGUGUUGAUUACUCUUCUUAUUUCACUAAGGUAAGAACUCAAUUACAUAAGUUGUUUAACAAGUAUGAAAACAAGUUUGGUGCAGUUCAAUCGCAAAGGCCCGCUCAACCUUCAGCUGCUACUGGUAAGAAAAGAACAGCAUGGGGUAAGAUCUUUGGUGGUCCUGGUACAUGUGGUUCUCCUGUUCUUUCAUCUACACCUCCUAUAUCUCCUGCUUCAGAGCUGUCAUCCUACUUGGACAGUGAUACUAUUACUUGCUAUGACGAUGACUUCAACAUACUUAGUUGGUGGCAUGAGCACAAGCUAUCCUAUCCUAUUUUGUCCAUACUUGCUAAAGAUGUUAUGUCUGUUUCAGUUUCCACUGUUUCUUCGGAAUCUUGUUUUAGUCUAACUGGUAGGGUGAUUGAGGAGCGGCGCCGACGGCUUACAAAUGCCCCUACCCAGACAUGGAUGAAGGCCAAGCUAGUCAGUAAGUCCAUUACUAACUUAUUACUCAUCUUGUUCAUUUGUUAAACACUUUGAAUUGCAAACACUAAUGCUAUUGGCCUGUUGUGCUUGUGCACCUCUAGGCCUACCCCAGGACCAGGAGCAAGCUGAAGGCUGAAGCCUGCUGCCUGUUGGACUUGGAGACUUGGAUUGUUGGUCUAUUGCGGUGUUGCCUGAAUGCCUGUUGGAGUUUUGGUGUUGGCUUGGCGGCUUGGCCAGUUGUUCAUUAGAUGUUAUGUCUGUCAGUCUGUGUGUGUGUCUCAAACUCUUUGUAAUGUUGAAUUGAAACUGAGCUGGCUGUACUCUUUUUCCCUUCGUAGGGUUUUCUCACAAGGGUGAGUUUUUACCUAGGAAGGUUUUUAAUGAGGCAGCCAACACUUGAUCACACAGAUCAAGUGUUAACAGCUCUAAUAAUUCCUUUAUUAUGAUUUCUGACUUUCUGUGUCACUGUGUGAAUUGUGAUUGUGUCCAUGUGAUGAAUGUGUCAUGUCUGAUUAUGCCAACACUUGAAUACUUGAUUAACCGUCUAUUUUGAUUUUUGAAUGUUUGAUAAACUUGAAAAUUUUUGAAUGUGUCUGUGCUUUUUUCCUCUUGACGGGUUGUGGGCUGGCCCGACCCGUAAAAAUGGAUGGGCUCUUCGGGUCGGGCCGGCACGAAAAAGGCCUCACGGGCCCGUGCAUGGGCCAUCCCCACGGCCCGUGGGCUGGCCUGGCACGGCACGACGGUGUUACCGUAACGGGCCAGGCCCGGCACGAAAACGAACGGGCCAUGCCGGGCCCGUGCCGGACCGGGCCGGGCGGACCGAAUGGACACAUUGAUGCAUGGCAUCAUCCAUGGCGGAGAAACAGCUUCCUUUUGCACAUUUUCUAAGUCAGUUAAUGGUCAUCGAUCAACCAGAGAAAGCACACACUGAUCACCCACAUAGAGAAGGAUUAAUCCUAUAGAUAAGGGAACGCACUGCAUAUAUAUGUUUUACUGGUAAUGGACACAUAUAUACUCUAGUAGCAGCGAUGGAGUUGGGAUAUGCAUGCAUGGAGGGCAUCUGACUUGCAGCACAAUAGGCUCAAGGCUCGGUGAUAAUUGAACCCGACUGUUCUCAAUUUGUAAAUGCGCUGGGCAUGCACAGCUCCAGUGUUUCCUUUUUAGUGGUGCCAAGAGGAGAGAGAUUGAGAUGACAAAGGUGCAAUACACUGGAGUAAAGUUUGGAAGUUGUGUUAUGCUAGCACCUGGUGCAAACUUGAGCACCUGCUGCAAAGGAUUAGAAAAUAUUUCACCUCAUUUUCUAUGCUAUGUUGUUGCUUGUUCCUAUAGGGGAGGGAGAGAAAAGCACCCUGGGUGGGUAGAGAGAAGAAUCUUUUCAAUUUUAUUAUUUGGUUUAAUGGGUCCAGCAUGAGUGCUAAAUGUUAAAGUAAAACUAGAUUGGCUAGCACCUUCCGUGUGGGUCCCAUCUUAGCAUUAGCUAAGGUGCUAUGCGUUGUGGAUGCCUUGAAGAAGAGAAAGGAAUGGUCUGAAUUGAGCAUCGGAAAUGCAUUCCUAUGCCAUGCAGCCCGGGUUGGUUGUAUUUCUUUUUUUCUAAUUUGUAUAUGCUUCAAGGGAUGGAAUCUUAUCAACAUGAACUAGCAUAAAGCUAUCACUGGUACAGCUCACGGGAUGCCUUUUUGACCUAUUGUGUACACAUGUACAUGGGAACUGCACAUAUAUCAGUGUCGUUGAUUUCAAAAUUUUAAAAACUACCGUAACUCAUAUUCAUAUUUAUUAAUAUUAAUCUUAAUAUUAGGUUGAUAUCAUGGAACGACGUGUAUUCCGCCCGUACACUCGUGGUACCGUACAUGUUCUGGCCAUAUAAUCAUGUUUUUUUGACACAUAUACCUUAAGUACCAUAAAAACACACUAAAAAAUAAAAACGCAUCAUGAAACAACCAAAAUCACUACCCAAAAGAAGAAAACAAAUCGGAUGCCAUCUAAAUCAUAAAAAAAGAAAAUAACAAAUCUUUGAUGCAGGUACCAGCGGCGCCCUCGUCCUCACCAUAUAAUGUACACAUGAAUAGAUAUAAUGUACACAAGAAAAAAUAUAUAGUACCAAAAACCCUUCUCCAAACUGAUUUCAUCGCUUACCGAUUUCAUCUCUUACCUAAAUGAAAACCGAAGUGUCCAGAUCUGGUGGAGUCGGCAUAUGCAUGCGUAGAGGGCAUGUGACUUGCAGCACAAUGGGCUCAAGGUCCGGUGAUAAUUGAAUCCGACUGUUCUCAAUAUGUUAAUGCAUGCACUGGGCAUACGCAGCUCCAGCGUAUCCUUUUUAGUGGUGCCAAGAGGAGAGAGAUUGAGAUGACAAAGAUGCAAUAUACUGGAGUAAAGUUUGGAAGUUGUGUUAUGCUAGCACCUGGUGCAAACAUGAGCACACGGUGCAAAGGAUUAGAAAAUAUUUCACCUCGUUUUCUGUGCUAUGUUGUUGCUUGUUGGGGGGAGGGAGAGAAAAGCACCCUAGGUGGGUAGGGAGAAGAAUCUUUUCGACUUUAUUAUUUGGUUUUGUGGGUCCUGCAUGAGUGCUAAAUGUUGGAGUAAAACUAGACAGGCUAGCACCUUCCGCAUGGGUCCCAUCUUAGCAUUAGCUAAGGUGCUAUAUGCUGUGGAUGCCCUAAAGAAGAGAAAGGAAUGGUCUGAAUUGAGCUUCAUCAUCGGUAAUGCAUUCCGAUGGCCUGCAGUCUGGGUUGGUUGUAUUUCUUUUUUUCCUGAUUUGUACAUGCUUCAAGGGAUAUAAUCUUAUCAGCAUGAGCUGACAUAAAGCUGUCACUGGUACAGCCUAUAGGAUGCCUUUUUAACCUAUUGUGUACACAUAUAUAUGGGAACUGCACAUAUAUCAGUGUCAUUGAUUUCAAAAUUUUAAAAACUACCGUUACACAUGACUUGCACCCAUAUAAUAUGUAUUCAUAUUUAGUAAUAUUAAUCUUAAUAUUAGGUUGACAUCAUGGAACGAUGUGUGUUCCGUACAUACACACGUGGUACCACACAUGUUCUGCCCAUAAGAUCAUGUUUUUUUACAUGUAAGGUACCGCAUGUGCUCUCUGAUGUGGUACAUGUCAUAUUAUUUAAUUCAUGAAACAACAACACAUGAACAUAUAAUGAACAGCAGAUGAAUAUAUAAAAAGUAUGUUAAAAACAAAAUAACCAGAUAAACACACACGACCAUAAAACACACACAAAAAUAAAAACGCAUCAUGAAACAACCAAAAUCACUACCCAAAAGAAGAAAACAAAUCGGGACGCCAUCUAAAUCAUAAAAAAAAGAAAAUAAUAAAUCUCCGAUGUAGGUACCGGCGGCACUCGUCCUCACCACAUAAUGUACACAUGAACAAAUAUAAUGUACACAAGAAUAGAUAUAUACUUAAAAAAUCCUUCUCCAAACCGAUUUCAUUGCUUACCGAUUUCAUCUCUUACCUAAAUGAAAACCGGAGCGUCCUGAUCUAGUGGACUUGGCCUGACCACGUCGCCGCGGCUGGCGGCCUGCAACUCACACCAUGUCGCCCUGGAUCCGGCGUUGGCGGCCUCGUGCUCGCCCGGAUCCGGCAGGAGGAGAGAGAAGAGAGAAAGGAGAGAUUCAUAUGUUUUUAAAAUGCAUGUGCAGGACCGGUGGGUAUAUUUAUUAUGUAUAUUCUCAGUACAUGUAAGAUGUAAAUCUGUCCACCUAACAGCUUAUCGAAUCUCGAAAUGUACCACAAAGCAUAUGUGGAUGGACAUGAUAAAAUCUACCCGGACUUCCAGGUAUAUAUAGGGGGUGUUUGGAUACCUCCUGCUAAACUUAGCACAUGUCACAUCGGAUGUUUCGAUACUAAUUAAGAGUAUUAGACAUAGUCUAAUUAUAAAACUAAUUGCACAGAUGGAGUCUAAUUCAUGAGACAAAUCUAUUAAGCCUGAUUAGUCCAUGAUUUGACAAUGUGGUGCUACAGUAACCAUUUGCUAAUGAUGGAUUAAUUAGCCUUAAUAGAUUCGCCUUGCGAAUUAGACUCCAUAUGUGCAAUUAGUUUUGUAAUUAGCUCAUAUUUAGUUCUCCUAAUUAGCAUCCGGGCAUUUGAUGUGACCCUACUAAAGUUUAACACCUUGUAUCCAACAUUCCUGUAAUCUUGUUACUUCAUCAUUACUAAAGCUGUAGAGCUGUCCCAGUUGUUGAAUGACCGGAGGGUAGUGUAGGUAAAAGGACGGCACGUAUAAUGCUAUAGCAAAUGAAUCAGAACUAUAGAUUAGGUAGAAGUAAUGUGCAUAAUGCGAUUUGGUUAAGGCGGGCGCCAGCGUGCGUUACCGACGACUUUAUCAACAGCUAUCGGAAAUCUAUCUAGCCAAUAAAGCUCUCUUUUUAACCGGGGAAAAAAAAAAAGAGGAGCUGGCAGCUUUGGUAAUUUUUAAUCCCCACGAGCUAGACAUUGUAGAGCCUGACAAAGAUGGGCGUCAACAAUGUUUAGCUAGUGCCUAAUGCGCACUCAAGCAGGCAGUAGCAGCAGCACGUAGUGGUGGCAAGGAAUUAGGCCGCUUCCAUUCCAUAACAAGGGACGACGAAAUGACACCACGCUUGGUGGCCACUGCACAGAGCCGCCUGGUCCCACCAAAAGACACCACGCUUUAGUUUCUCCGAAAGCAGGCGGGCGGCCGGGGAGACAAGCUUCAACCCUGCAACCCUGUCCAGCACAAACUAGCACCUGAAUGAAAAGAAGAAAAACAGAGGAAGAGUAAAGCGGUCAGGAACACAAUGCAAAGGUAAAGAGAAAGCACGUAUCUGCGUGCUGCGUGCACGAAUAAAGAAAAGGGAGGGGAACGGUGUGCCAACCGACCGUCCAUGCCGAUCGAGGCUGGCUGGCUAGCGCGAUCGAUGUCGCUUGCUGCCAUACGUUCAUCCAUCACCAAGUAGCAUAUGAUGGAGCCUUGUGCCAUACGUUCAUCCAUCUUUCCGUUGGGCAGCUCACACUUACAGGAGAUCGACUGUUUGUUCUCUCGGUUUCCCCGAGCAGCAUCGCAUCGAUUGCAAAGCAGAGUGGAUGUAGUGUAGGUGGUGCGCGUACCAAGUCCUAGGCUACAGAACUGCACGGAUGAUCAUGAUAUCCUAAGAAUAAAGAGAUCGCACGAACGCACCGAAUAAGGAACGUACAGUACGCGCUUCAAAGGAAUCAUCAGCACCGUCACCUUUCCAACUGCCCCAAAGGAAAAGAAAUUAGGGAUGACGGAGAGGGUGACGAGCGACGGCCCUGAAACCGAUCGAUCACAGGCUCAAAGCAAAAGCGAGAGGAAGGAAGAAAAAGCUACUCCCCGUUCCUGCCUGCGUCUUUUCCCUGCCCAGACCGCACCGCGCACGCGGCUAUGCCGGUGCCUGCCAGUAGCAGCUGCCGCACGAUCUGGCGGGCGUCAUCGACUCGAUGAGCUAGCUGCCCUGCACCAUCAGCAGUUCAGCACUGGCUCAUCAGUGGAUGCGCUGCUCAAGGCACCAACGGUCACGCCAGGUCGCCAGCAACAGCGAGCAAGCUAGAUGCUGCUCCCAAAGAGCUGAGUGGAAGUGUAACCAGCUCAAGUGGUAUUGUUCAUCAAGAAAGAGAUGGUCACUGAGUUUCUCAGAGAAGUUAAAAAAACAGUUUCAUCUGCCUUUUGAUUCAUUAUUAUCUCGGUUUGUUAAACUGACCACACUUGAGUGUUUGAGUUUAUGGAAAACAAGUGAAGCUAGAAUUCGUAUAAACACCCUUUCAAACGGAUGCGCAGCGGUGCCCGUAAGCCGGGCAGCAGCGUAAGAGCAGUCCCAACCCAUGAAGUCCAUGAGCAAAGUCCAUCAUGCCAUGUCAUCAAGACAUCACUUGUUCCCUCUCCUCCCUUUCUCUCUUCCGUCCUCUCCUUUUCAUUCUCUUCCCAUCGGUGACAUCGCCAGGACAAGAACGUCGGGGGCCACGCCAUUGGCCGCAGAACAGGGCCCUGCCGCGGACACGUGGGUGGCGGCGCGGCGGACUGGCCACCAUGGCCGGCCUUGGCUCAGCGGCGGCGUCAGGGAUAAUGGUGGGUGGCGACAAGGGCCGGCCAUGCUUGUUCGGCGGCUCUAUCGCGCGGCGGCCCGUCGAGGCGAGGGGGGGCUGCGAGGAGCCGAGAGUCGAGGACCGUGGUGGGGCAUGCAAAACCGCGUGAGGAAGAAACUAUCCGGCCCUCAACGCGGAACCGCUGAUUUCUUGGUGCAUCAGACUGCGGGAUGACGUCGUUUCUGAUGGGAGAAACGGAUCUAUUUUGCUUAUCUGUCCUCGUUAAUUCCUGUGCAAUGUCAUCUCUUUUGUUUAUGUGUCACACUGUUUAAUGCUAUAUAAACUGGCUGACAUGCUCAGCAUGAGAUAAACAAGGCUGACGAGGAAGAUUUGCAUGCAAGAGAAAGAGGAGGCAAUACCCAUAUGCACAUUAGCGAGGGCAUCAGCAUCUGCAACUGCGAUUACGAUCACAAUUGCGUUGCAUCGCAAGCAACCACCAGUCCGCCACCACCAAAGCUGCUGACUGGACCAGAAGCCCAGAGCACAAUUUACUCGAUGCAGCUGUUGAAACUCAAAGCUGCAGACAGAGUGAGUGGCAGGCAGCACAGACCACAGAGUAGAUCCUGCUGUUCUUGCGUGCGUGUAUCUUUAUCUGCGUCCGUGCCAUGAUGACACUGGACAUUUAACACCGCCGCCUCGGGGAACGUGGCCGAUUCACUCGCGAUCUGUUCAGCUCGUCACGCGAAACAGAUCGUCAACGUCAACUCAUGAGACUUUGAUCCGUGAGAAAUAACAGCAGGUAGAAAACAGAGCAAGAACUCGGCUCAAUGAAGCAGAGCGAAAACAGAGGAAGACGAGACAGAGAGAGGGAUUGCAUGCGGAUCAAAGUAAUAAAAAAACAGAGGUUAAUUUCCUUUACAUCAGGGCUCGAUAUUCACCACCAUCCAAAAAGAACAGAACGAACGGGGUUAAGUAAAUCGGCCUAAUCUAUAGACGACUCUGGUGGGGUUGGUUGGCGAGAUCGCCGGAGCCGACUCACUCCCGCGCCGUGGACGACGACGCCAGCGGCGGCGGAUCACGCGGUCAGUUGGCGGCGACGUGGAUGGCGCCGUUCUUGGCUGCGAGGCAGACGGGGCAGGCGUCCGCCCGGGGCUCGCACGCCUUGCACAGGCACAGGUGACGGCACGGCAGCAGCAGCACCGACACCUCGCCGCCGCCGCACGCCCGGCACGCCCACCUGCUCGCCGCCGCCGGGGACGACGUGGCCGCGCACGCGCCGGCGCCGUCCUCGGCCUCGACGAAGAAGCGGGACUCCGCGUCGUCCGCCGCGGCGGCGAUGCAGGGGUCGGAGUCGCCGAAGCCCUCCUCGGCGGGCUGAAUCGCCGGGGCACCAGCCCCGCCGCCGCGGAGGAGGAGGGUGUCGAGCGCGGCGCGGAGCCCCGACGCGACGGCCUCGUUGCUGCGCGCCACGCCGCACCACGCCUGGCUCUCGGCGGCGGCCUGCCGCAGCCGCUCCUCGAGCUCCGCCGCGCGGCGGCGCGCGGCGUCCAGCUCGGCCUCCUUCGCGCGCAGCAGCCGCGCCGCGCCCGCCGCCGCGCCGCGCACCAGCGCCUGGCGCUGCCGCUUGUGCGCCUGCUCCAACCCGGCGCGAAGGCGAUCGCACUCGGCGCGCACCAGCGCGUCCACCUCCGCGCCCUGCUGGCACAGCUCCGCCACCAGCGCGUCCGCCACCGACACCGUGGCCGGCCGCCCGCUGGUCGACGCCGUCGCGGAAUCCACCAUCCGGUUCGCGGUCGCCGCCGGCGAGGGCGAGCGCUGCGCGACGACAGCCUCCUGCAUCCCCGGGAUCGGCAGAAGCGCCGCCGACCAGGAUGUCACGUACUGCUCGAACUCAUCCUCCCUGCCGCGCUUCCGCGACGGCAGCGCCACGCCACCGCCGUUGCACGUCAGCUCGCUCUGCGCGGCGCUGACCACGCCGGCGGCGCAGUUGUACUGGUACGCAUUGUUGCCCGCGGCAGCUGACAGGAGCGCGCGCAUCUGCUCGUCGGCCAAUCCGCCGCCGCCGCCGUAAGGCGGCAGGCAGCCGGCGAGGCCGGCGAACUGCGCUUCCACGGCCAUGUCGCCAAGUCUUCUUCUUAUGAGGGACGGAGAGCAGAGGGGAGGCGACGAGACGAGAUCAAGGCUCAAGAGAUGGCCGGAGGGAAGGGUAGAGGAGGAAGAGCCUGGAGGCUGGAGCUAUAUAAAGCGGCGGAGGUGGCGACGCGCGGUUACCAGCUUACCGCAAUAAUGGCGCGCCUGCCGCAACGGCCGAGACAAGUUCGCCGUGGUGGGCCCCACCACACGCCUCACAGCUCGGAAUGCGUAUGCUACUGCUGCUGCUGCCGCAGUCUACAGGUGGGGAUGGAUAUGCACACGCCAACUAUUUUGUGAUCUAUAAUUAAACAGAGUUGUUGUGACAUUAUUUUUUCAUAUUAUUUAUUGAUUCCAACUCGCUAAGAGUUGAAUUUGACUAUCUCACAGUGUCUAUGAAAAGCAUCUUUAUAUUAGAAAAAAAAUAUGUUGCUGAAUUUGCAGGUGUCUGAUGACAGCCAGCACUUCUGACCAUGAAGAGAUUAUCUAAUUCCAAUAGCUUGUCUGCUACUUACACAAUCAACAAAUAAAAGAAUAGUACUGCCCUUUUCAAAAAAAAAGAUAGUACUCAACUUGGUCAGAUGGAUCUGCAAUCUAUUCAAGAAAAUAUUCUGAUAAUAGAAUCAAGUAAACAACAGGUACAUGGAUGAGCUUGAAAGACUCUUUUAAACAUAAUUUAUACAUAGUAUGAGUAUUUUAUAUUUAUAUAUUAGUAUAAUAAGUGCAUUGUGAUCUCCUCCACUACAAUGAUCUAUCAGCCUAGCUGGGCGGCACAGGUUGGAUUCAACGUUGGCAAGACAUGUGCAUGUGAUGGUGGCAAGCGAACCAAACCCAAAACGAUCUGUCAGAGCUAGCAAAUGCCAAAUCUUAUCUAGCUAAACAAAUCCGCCCAGCAAUGAUGCUUGAUGUGAUUCCUUAAAAUGGAUAUAGAUUAUGUGAAGCACUUUCCUGUGUCUGCUUGCUGUUGAAGUACCUUUACAUAUAUACCACUAAUCUUACAUAAUCACUUAACUCACCAUCUAAUUUAACCUACAAGCAAGCUCCUCCAUGCAUCAUGAUCCAAGAUAUAGUACAUAUACAUCUAUGGCUUUGAUAGUCAUCAUAUAGUUGGCGAAUCAGUGCAAUAAUCUGGACUAUGAUUUGGACCGGUGCAAUAAUCUUCUGGUCCCAAAGUAAUGCUGAUGCAUUUAUGAUGUCUAUGGGUUUUAAUUGGUGAAAACUCCAAGGCAUAUUAACAAUUUUUUAUUAGUGAAGUUUGUAGGACACGAUAAUAUAUUCCAAUGUGGGUAUCUAUGCAUUACAAGCAAAGUUUCAAUUAAUUUCCAAGAUUUCUAGAUUUUUUUUACUUUCAAUGAACAUGGAUGCUAUCUUCUUCUUAAUGAAUGAUUGCUCACAAAUUAGAGCUAUAAGUAGAUUUAGUGGGUUUUAAAAAUAAGUAGAUUUAUUAACAUGUCAAAGCAUCACGUAAAAUUAAAAGAUUGAAAAUAACAUAGCAAAAGUACAGAUAUAUUAGCAUACAAUGUAUUACAAAACUACUCCAACAUAUAUGAGUGUGCAGGUGGAUCGCAAAAUCUUGUCGUAAAUAUUACUUAGCACCAGAAAAAGGAGAUUCCCCGUAUCAAAUAAUGCACUUUCAUCAUGUUAGACACCACCAGCAUGUCAUUAUUGGAAUCGACACAAGUGGGAAACGAUGUUUGGAAUCUAUAAACUCCUGAUUAAGAACAUCACUGGAAGACCAUUUUAGCUUUUCCACAUCCUUAUUAGAAUAGACAGUCAAAAUCUCGACAUCCUUAGAAUAGACAAGUCAAGUUGCAAUCAAUCCUUAAUUAAUCAGAUCGAAAAAUUCCCACCUUUCUCUAUUGGCAAGAUGUCAUUGGGGCAAAUUUUGUACUACCUGUCUCCCUCAAAUGCAUUAUUGGACCUCCGAUCCCUAGCUCGAUUCAUGUGUCUUGCUGUCGAAGUACCUUUAUGCUCCACUUAAUAACUCGCCACCCAAUUUGACCAGAAAGCUCCUCCAUGCACGCAUCGUGAUCCAAGAAAAAAAAAUAAUGUAUGUAUACAUAUAUGGCUUUUAUAUAGUCAUCAUAGUUGGCGAAUCAGUUGAUUUGUGUACGAACCAGCAAAUAAUGGCUCCAUUUUAGGAAAUUUCCUAACACCCACUGUCAUCAUUGCUGUCGUGUCACUAAGUAGAAAAAUGACAUUCCAUCUUCAACAAAAAUCUGGGUCGUUUUUGACUCGGGACUAAAGCCUCUUUAGUCCUGGGGUCUAAAUUUCGUGGUCACGUGGAGACCCUUUUGUCCCGGUUGGUGUUACCAACUGAGACUAAAGGGUCCCCUACGGAUGCAUUCAAAAUGAUAGCAUCCUCUACUCAGUUGGAUGUGUUGUGUAGGUGAGAUGGUAAGUAAGCUACGUGCGAGGUAAGAGGUUGCGAAUUCGAAUCCCGCGGACGCGCAUAUUUCGCGUGACUUGUGACUUGGGGUCAUGUGCGUGGGGAGCCUCCUGGGAAUUAACAACUGGGACUAAAUGUUUGUCUUUAGUCCCGGGUGAAAGACCCAGGACUACAGAGGGGACCUUUAGUCCCUAAUACCCGUGCACGCGCAUAUUUUGCGUGACUUGUGACUUGGGGACAUGCGCGUGGGGGAGCCUCCUGGGAAUUUAGAAUUUUUUUUAGCGCAAAAACCCUUACCAACUGGGACUAAAUGUUUGUCUUUAGUCCCGAGUGAAAGACCCAGGACUAUAGAGGGGACCUUUAGUCCCGAAUAAUUAAGCCUGGUUGGAUUUUCGAGAUCUAUGCGUCUCUCCAACCGGAACUAAUCCUCAAUUUUCUACGGUGUGUGUGUAUGGACUGAACGCACUGCACGUUAUCAGAAAUAUUCUUGAUUUGAGUAUCAACGAAAAUGGUCUAUGUGCGUGCAUGUGCAUACCUGCACAAAAGUCCCAAACUUUUCUUCCUGUUUUUUUUUCUCUCAAUUCCACGACAUAUCUUAUUCUGCAAGGUUGGAUUAGUUGUGUUGGCACUUAUCUUUGAGUGACGACACACAUCAAUUAUAUGGAAUUCAAAAUGGUAACCUUAUCGACAGCACCAUGAGAGGGUGACCAUGACCUGACCUGCUGCACAUGAUACUAGCUUAAUAAGGAGAUUGGGACUGCAUCAUGCAUGUGGGUUGAAUAAUUGAGAAAACGGCGAUGCCGGCGGGUGUCAGCUUGCUCUGAAGCUUCAAGGUAACGGUACUUUUUAGAAGAAGAUUUGGAAGUAUUUGCAAUUAGAAAAUGAAGUGGCUUGGAAUGAUCGUGAGACGCCACCGCUACACACGCACAAAUGUCAGCAUUUUGGAGAAACGACAGCCGGGAUGAAACAUGAAAGCGAAGUAUGGAGAGGCGGGCUACUAGGUCAUCGCCUCCUAUUCUAAGAACGUGUGGAACAUCAGUGAAAAAGACGAGAUAGCUAGGAAGCAAUCGUCAACAAGGGCUAGUUAGCGCACCCGCAGUUUCUGAAAAGAUGGUUGGUGAAGAUGCUAGAGUUAUUAAAAAAGGAGGGUACAUAAAUGUUUGUUUGUGGGUUUAUUUAUUGUGCAGCCCAAGCUCGAUCUUCCUUUAGCUGAUUUUAUAGUUUCGUGAUGUAUCAUGUAUGUAUAACAGUGUAAGAUUUGAUGGUUGUGAAUCUUGAUUCUAUUGUGUAAUUUUACGAAUUUAGGAUCUGGGACUAACUGAUGGCCUCAUUCAAUGAUUUUCCUCAGUAGAAUCUACGAUGUUAUGAUUUAGCAGUUAUGAUUAUGUGAUUUCAGAUCUUGUAUAGAGAUUACCUCGGAUCCUAUUAAAAUCUGCAAUUUUGACAGCCUAUAUAUCCAUUAUUUUAAAAAGCAAUUUAAAUAUGAAAAAUAUCCAAACAGCCCGGUGCAGUGGCGUUGAUCGGCGAUCUAGCCAUUUAGGUGCAGCUCAGAUCAGAAACUAUGGUUGCACACAUACAUGCACAUGACCCAUGAGCAUGAUGAUGGUACGGACUUGAAGAAGAGGGAUAGAUGACUUGUCCUCGAUGGUGCACGCAGAAACCGUGACAUCGCGAACGGGCUUGUGACAAGUUGAUCAGCUGAGUCUAGUAGCACCGGCCUCCAGAGGAGGUCAAGGGUUCGAUCCCCGGUGGGGACGAAUUUCGGUGGGUUUUUCAGGAUUUAUUCCUGAGUUGUUGUGGGUACACACGAGUUGGUAUUCCGUGUUUCCCGCGCAAUAAGGGUGGUAGUAGUCUCUCCAAUCUCAAAUCUGGUGUGUGUAUGGAUGUGCCUGUGUGUGCGCGCGGUGUGAGUGUGGUGUGCAUGGUUGUGUGCGGCCUAUGUAUGCACCCUCUCAAAAAAAAUCGUGACAUCCGUAUGUAUGUGACUAUCCAGAUUGCGUUAUAUCUACCGCGUGAGUCUACCAUCACGGCGUGCACCGCCGGCCGGUAUCUCUGCCUCCUCCCCCUAUCCGAUCUCACUCGUUUGUCGUUUCCCCUUUGAUGAUAUGGGCGCACUAGAUGAUGGGUCUGUGUACGUGGACGAUUCCACAGUGUUUGAUAGGACGGGUAUAAUCGUAAAAUGACCUAUGCUUUGAGAAGAAUUUAGCUCCAUAUCAAAUUAUAGGUUGUUUUGUGUUUAUAUUUUUUUCUACAUACCUAGAUAAACUCUAUAUCUAGAUACAUAUCAAAAUGUAUGAACUUAGAAAAAGAAAACAAACUUACUGUGCGGAAUAAGGGCAAAACAACUUAACUACGAAAUGACAAUCAAAAUGUAGUUACCGGAGUACGGUCAUGGAUGGAUUAUUUUAUUAUGACCAAACGCUACCCGAAAACCGACAGGAGAGCUCUAAAAGCCAUCAAGAUGUAAUUUUGUUGAAAGAAAGAGGAUUUUGAUUGAUUGACUAGAAUUGUGUGUUCCCCGGCUUAGCCAGGGCGCCUAAUUAGGUGGAAGAAGACCAAACCAUGUAGCACGGGCAUGUAUAGCUUAGCUUGAUGAGUGGGUCGCAAAAGGCAGACUCAUCAGUUUGACCGACGCGAACUACACGCAGAAGGCCAUGAGGGCAUCAACCCAUCAUCCAUGCGGCAGAAAGAAAGAAAGGGACGCCGGCCGGCCCGUGGGUCACGCACUGAUCGAUCGUCGAUUUGUACGUAGCGGAUAUGCUCUCUGCUUGCAAGACACGUAUCCAUCGGUCGUCCUCUGCUAGGGCACGGUUUUUUCAGCUUAUGGCUCGGUUGGGUUCACGCGUGUACGUCCCACGCACGCAGAGAUCCAUUAGCGCAACUGUUUCUCUAUCGCAGAAUGUCAAAAGGAUGGAGAGAGAUGGGUAGAAAAAUAAAGGCUGCAGAAGCUCAGAAAAGCUAGCAAGCAAAAGGCAUAAACGGAUGAGCAAUAAUGCCAUAUGCACGAUGUAGAAUGAUCGAGAUAGGGCUAUGGAUAUGAUUCCAUGACGACACCUAACACGGAUAGAACAAAAGCCUUGAUCGAAUGGAGAAAAAUGACGCGGUGAAAGUGAUAUAUACCAGGGGAACAACAUUAAAUGGAAAGAAACACACAAAGGAACAAAAGCUAGUAGCUUGGCUUUCCUGUCCAUACAAAUGCUUCUAUCCAGUAUUCCAGUUCAUCAAGUUUGUUUAUAACAAGAACUCUUUAUUGCGUUUUUUUACUCCACAGUUUACUGGUGGUGAAAAAUGUGUGAAUGACUACGACAAAGGAGCGAGCAAGAAUGACUAGCAAAUUGGACCAGACAAAUUCACGUAAUAUAAUUGCGUGCAAGCUGUGUCCAUGUGUUGACACAUAUGAUGGGCACUCCCACUUGGCCGGCAUACAGGGACGACGUGAACUGACGUUGCAUACGAUCGAUCUGUGCAUCUAUCCCAGUCUGUCGUGAAGGACAAUAGCAACCAGAAAUGGCACGGCAAGGAAACGAACAGAUCGAUCGACGGACUCCGAUGGCUCACGUUGCAGUAGUGACUGCCGGCCUGACUGACUGACUGACUGGGGCUUGAAGCCAAAGCUUCUCUCCCUCCCCUGAAAGCUUGAAUGACGCGUACGCGCGUGACAUGGCCCACACGGCCUGCGGCUCUGCUCCAUGGCCGGCCAGCGCUGGGGGUCGGAUUUGAGCUAGCCUCCUUGACCAGCAGUAGCAGCAAGGCAGAAACCAUGCAUGGACCGAUGAUCUGAUCAUCGAUGGAGGACGACAGGACCUCCGUAAUGCACAGUCAUGCUCAUGCAUGCAGCUCCUUUCAUUUCACUGCCUGCCCUCGUUAGCUGAUGAAACACAACUCAAGCCCAAUGCAACCCAAAGGCGAUAAACUUUGAAAGAUACGAGUAGCAGCAGACACGUACAGUGCAAACCUCGACCUCCUAUAUAUCCUCGACGUCACGUCAACUUGCCUAGCCGAGUACGAGUAGUCCUCUUCCACGUACAAGUGACAAAGCUGUUGUCGUCACACCGACGUGCAGCGCGUGUAUAGUAUUUUGCUUCGAUGUCAUCCCGAUGACUAGCUCCUCUGUCCGGCUCGAUGGAGCCAGCCAUGUCGUUCAGUGGAGGACGUGAUCCGUGAGGUAUUUGGAGUUCAACACACGGGACGGCAGGAGCACGGAAAACUUGGUCGGACGUCGUAUGUGCACGAAAGAAAGAGAAACAGUAUGGAGUACUAUGGACGAGGACCGGGUCCAUUAUUUCUGGAAGAUCGAGAGAGAAAAUAGAGAAGAAGAAGAUCGUCAAAACGUAGCAGCAGUCAGUGCGCUAACCCACCAGCAGUGUAGCGUGCAGUUUCAGACUCGCUACUCGUACGUGAGAGGAAACUUUGGCCGGCAGUGCGAAAAGAGCUAGAGCCUUGCUGGCUGCUGGCGACGACGACAAAUAGGUUUGCCGUGCACAAGUUAAACAAACGGGGUUCGUUCACAGAAUCACAGGUCACGAGUCAUGACCAUCCUGUGUGAGUGAGCGAGUGAGACCAUAUGACCCGUGCUGCCUACCUCAUCUAACCCAUAUCCACCUAGCUAUGUGCAUUGCACGAACUGGAAAAUCUGUCGCGUACCACGCUACGCAAAGCAUGCAUGCGUUACCCUAUUCCUUGCUAUAUAUUGUAGCCUACGGUACCCGGCCUAUAUCUCUAUAGGAUGCAGCUGCUACUGCUACUUCACGCUCUCUUGGAUUUGGCGAGAAUGAACUGAUGACAGGUGCCUUUCCAUGUGUUGGUUUGAGAGACUGGCAGGUAGCAGAGCUGUGCUUGUACCCUGCAUGGAUGGGAUCAUCACUGACUGUGGCCCUCCGUCCCUGCUGUUGUGAUUAUAUUGGUUAAUGAUCAAUUAGCCAGUUAAUCACGUCAUUAGCAGUUACUAAUACUUUUGUCUCCCAGUACAUUUUACUUUAACACGUUAUCAUGCACGUUCGCUCGGACACCACUGUGUUCGGCCAAAGAUUCACAGAAGAAAGAAGCGGCAAGCAAGAACAGUUUCUGUUCCUCGAGACCUCGAAUUCCCAUCGGCGACAAGCCUGGUUCUCCUGCUUGUUGCCGGCAGUCUGCAAAGACGGCGGAAUUCUCUUCGACUUCUUCAUCACCAGCGAGCAACACUGGAAGUUUGCCUGGUGCAUCGCCUGCAUCCAUUGCGGGACGAAUGCUCAAACAAGAACUGAAGCAGUUGGAGAAGAAUAAUAGAGGUAUCCGACCUCGCAAAUAAGAACAACGAACGGAAUGCCAAAAUGGUAUGCGUUUACUGCAUUGUUACCUUCCAUGGCAUCGUUGUUUACUCUCCUCUCUGGUCUGCAUCAUCAUUGCUCGCCCGUGCACGCUGCUCUGGCCGCAAUGGCGCUCGCCUGCAUCCCUGCGUUGUGGAACGGCUGCACCGGCGCUCGCGACCCACCGCUGCUAACGAUGGUUUCCCCCGCACGGCAGUUCUCCGCCCCGCGAUACCACUCGACCCUGCCUCCUUGGCCUCUCCUCAUGGAGGAGCCGAGUCGAGGCGUCGGCGACCGACGUCCACACCUGGGACGGCAGCGGGCGGUCCCAUCCGGGCCAUCCAAAUUCCAACAACGGGGAUGGAGCACGCUCGCUCGCUCCAGAUAUGCAGAGGCGGACGCUCGCACCCAGGACGGCGGCGGCAGCUCCGGCCCACGCACGGGACGCCGGUGGUGGUUGGCGGUUCCCGCCCGCAUCCGCGACGGCGACCCCAAGGCGCGGCGGCGGUGUUUGCUCGCUGACCCAGGAGGCGUGCGUCGUCCGGGUCUGGUGGGUCAUCAGGCGAUCGAUGAUCCAGUCCUUGGUCUUGGCGUGCAUGCCCCUGCGUUCGUUCGUGGGAGGCACCUUCCCCGCGCCUUUCCCUGCAGCCUCGUUCGGCCCAGCCACGUGCUCACAAGUCACAAACGCAACCCGACCUUUUGGCAGCAAGUGAGAGCAGUACCCUCCUUGCACUGCAAGGGCUCACUCGCUGCCAAAUCCAGCCCCGGCGCAUGGCCGGCAUCAUCAUUUAACUAACCGCAAACGCAAUCCUACGGCUGAUCGCUGGCUUUUGUUUUGUCACGUCGGCUUGCGUGCCCCGGGGCCUUGGCCACGCACGCCUGAUCGCUCGGCAGAUUAGAUUAGAGACAGGGCUUUACGUGAUCAGAUGUGGGUAGUUGGAUUAAGCUAACUGAACAGCAGGCGGAGUAGUUAGUUUAACAGUACUUAAUUACAGGAUAUACAGGCGGCAUGCAUCUGGAGCGCGUCAUCCCCGGCGCUUUGACCGCCCGCGCGCGUCGGCCCCAUGCCACACUGUCCCCGGCCGGACCUCUCGCCUGCUGCCGACGUGUAGCGCCGGCGAGACGUCCGGGUGGCGCGGCCCGCCGACGCAGGCGCUGGUUGGGUGGGGGUGCCCGUGGCCGUGGUGGCGCCUCGCCCCGCGGGGCCCCCACGUGCCCCCGCGUGGCCGCAGGGACCAAGCCGAGAUCGCCUUUGAUUAAAAAAAAUAAGAUGGGAAAUCCGGAGGGGAUGGAUGGAUUUGUCUCUACGAAAGCGCGGGAGGGAUUAAUAAAGAAGCGUCUGGCACGACAUGUGCGCACUGUGCAGGGUGUACGGUGCCACCGCACCGCACGAAGGACGGAGGCGACCAAGAAAAAGGCGAGGCGGGUGGCUCGGCGAGAGGGGACGAACGCGAACCCCACCGCCACCCGGGGGCACGGCACCUCGCCUGGCGUCACAUGGUCUUGUUAUUGUUAUCCGCGGCACCCACCUUGUUGAUCCAAUGAGAGCACCACCGCGCGGCAAGCGACGCCGGGAAAGAUCGCCGGAUCUCAAGCCACCCUAUUUAGGUGGGGCCGCCAGCGUCAUCGCUACCCAAUUAACCUGUUAACUAAUCCCAAGCUGAUCCAAAAGGUUUAUUAGUAGACUGCAUCAUGCGUUCACACGACCUCACAUACCUGCAGCAAAGGCUGGCGCCGUGCGCGUGGCCCACCCACCCCACCCCACCCCCACCACCGCGCGCGGCAACCUUUUUGGACGGGAUGGAUCCGCUUGUCUGGCCGGCCGUUGGGGGCAGCCCCGCCAUUACCGCGCUGCUCCAUCGCCCCGGCGCUACCUGCCAACCCUAAUUUAACCCCGAGUCUCGUACUGCUGACCCCCCGCAUUGAUUUCCGGCAACCGUACAUGCACGCACGCAUGCGUGCUUCGUCCUCGUCCGCUUCCCGCCGCGAACCCCGCGCGCCCGCCUUUUGUCGUUGCCUCCCCACUUCCCCAGGGCCCAGGCUCCCACCACCGCCACCACUACUGCCCACCCACUCGCCGUCGCCACCUACGCGUUAUAUAACCAACACCUCCCCGUAUCCUCCUCCCCUUCCCCUAGACACCCUCUCACCUCCUUCCUCGAUCGAGUGCCCAUCUCGAUUCCUUGGAGAAAUGCUUCAAGGCACAACCAUGGCCGUGCAUCAAGCGCGCUUCGGCGGCGGCCUCGCGGGGUGCCUUCCGCUUCCGCCCUGCGCCGGCGGCGGCAUCCUGGUCGAUGAGCAGACGUGGGCGCUCAAGGACUACGGGGCGCUCCUGUCGGCCGCGGCCAACGACGGUGGGUACCGGUACGACCGCGCCGCCCAGAGCGACCUGACGUGCAACGGCGGCGGCGGCGGCGGUGCGGUGGCCGUGCCGUCGCGGAAGCGUGGCAUUGAGGACGAGCUCGAGCGUUACUACGCGGCGGCCUCGUCGGCGGCGCUCCUGCCGAUCCCGGGGAUGCACGAGCCGAUCGCCGUCGCGCCGCAGUCGGCGGCGACGUUGGGCGCGGUGGCUGCGAGCCGGAUGGCGGAGUCGGCGACGGCGUCCACCAGCGGCCGGCCAGCCAUCCCGAUCGCGGCGUCGGUGGAGGACGCGCUGGUCGCAGAGUUGUGCCAGCAGGGCGCGGAGAUCGACGCGAUCGUGCGAGCCGAGUGCGACCGCCUCCGCGCCGGGCUGGAGCAGGCGCGCAAACGGCGGUGCGUGGAGCUGGUGCGCGCCGCCGCGGCAGGCGCGGCUCGCGUCCUGCGCGACAGGGAGGUGGAGCUGGCCGCCGCGCGCCGGCGCGCGGCGGAGCUGGAGGAGCGGCUGCGGCAGGCGUUCGCCGAGAGCCAGGCGUGGCGCGACGUGGCGCGCGGCAACGAGGCCGUCGCGGCGGGGCUCCGCGCCACGCUCGAGACCGUCCUCCUCGGCGGCGCCGGCGCCGGCGCCCUGGCGCCCACCACCAAGGAGGUGGAGGAGGAGGGCUUCGGCGACUCCGCCGACCCCGUCGAGGCGGCGGACGACGCGCGGUCGUGCUGCUUCGUCGAGGCCGAGGACGGCGCCGCCGCCGCCGCCCCGGCGAGCAGGUGGGCGUGCAGGGCGUGCGGCGGCGGCGAGGCGUCGGUGCUGCUGCUGCCCGUGCCGGCACCUGUGCCUCUGCAAGGCGUGCGAGCCCCGGGCCGACGCCUGCCCCGUCUGCCUCGCCGCCAAGAGCGGCGCCAUCCACGUCGCUUGACGGCUGAUGACCACACGCCCGGCGCGCCGUGGCGGCAGUUGGCUCCGUAGGCCUCGUGCUCGUCAGCUAACUCUCCAGACGUGUAAUGUAAUCAGUAGGCAGUUAGAUUAGAUAAGUUUGAUCGAUCCCGUUCCUCUGUUUCUUUCCGGGAGACUGACUGAAACGCCCGGCGGAGGAUUUAAUCUGUUCAUCGUUUCCUCUUCUCUUCGGGUGAGGGAUGAAGAAUGAGAAAUUAAAUUAAACAUGAUUCCUCAUGUUUCUGCCCUGUUUUUUCAGCUGAGUCGUUCUUGCUCUGCUUUUCACGCCAGAUGCAGGAAAAAGGUACACGCAUGCAUACCUUAGCAUACCACAUGCAUGUACGUGAAAGUUCAUGCAAGCAGCUUGCUUUCGUAUUUGAUGGAUUUGAACAAAAUCUCGUCAUACAGACACUAAGAGAAGACCCCUUUUUCGUUUUUGAGAUUAAGGGACGGAGGCAGUUCAGAUGAAUCAUGCCGGAUUCUUUCCUCAGGCAACAGUCGUAAGGUUCUCCGGGUAUGUCCCCACUAGAGUUCGGACUCGAUCUGCAGAGUUCCAAAUUCGUUUGACGUUGUAUGGAUUACCAAAUUCGUUUCAUUACGAUUUACUACGAGUUUACGACCGCAUCAUCGAGAUACGGAUCCUGCUCGUCCUCAUCGAUCGCCUGCCUGACGACCAUGCUGCCUAUCUUCUUCAUUACGUCGAGCUCGAGGAGGCGCCGCGAGGCCGAGGAGGCAGCGGCUAAAAGGGAGGCGGUGGAUGCUAAAUUGACGAAGGCGAUGGAGAUAUUCGCAGCAAUAUCAGGUGCUGGAGCGGGAGCAAAAGAAGAGACGGAAAAGGCAAACGAAGCAGCGGAAAAGGCAUCACCGCCGGCAUCUUGAUCGAGCUGCGACGUCGUCGUCGUCGUCUGCAACUUUUAAUUAGUUGGGUUCUUGGGCUGUACUACCAAAUAUGGGGGAAGGCAAGAGCAGCCGCGGAGAAAGCAAGAGAAACGGCGGCGGCGGCGGCAGUGCCAGCAGCAUCUCCCCGCCGAAGUCGCCGCUAAUCAUACCAUGGCGGCAUGGCGCACCACCGGCACCUUUAUCGAGCUGCGACGCCGUCUGCAGCUUUAGUUUGGUUGUUGGUGAGGUACUAGUGAAAUAUGGGAUCGUAUUAACGAACUAUGAUUGUUUAUC